RNAcentral lists this transfer RNA (71 nucleotides) under Marmota monax (woodchuck). RNAcentral describes it as "tRNA.Ala". The record is from RNAcentral. Lineage: Eukaryota; Metazoa; Chordata; Mammalia; Rodentia; Sciuridae.
GAGGAUGUAGCUCAGUGGUAGAGUGCUUGCCUAGCAUGCACAAGGCACUGGGUUUGAGCCUCAGCACCACA